GUGCACCAGUCGAGAAUAUUUGGCAAUGGGGGAAACCCUGACCAUGCGACGCCGCGUGGGGGACGAAGGCCUUCGGGUUGUAAACCCCCUGUGUUAUGGGAAGAAUCCCCUCUUGGUGAACAACUAGGAGGGUUGACGGUACCAUAGUAGAAAGCCCCGGCUAACUACGUGCCAGCAACUGCGGUAAGACGUAGGGGGCGAGCGUUGUCCGGAUUUAUUGGGCGUAAAGGGCGUCUAGGCGGCUGUGUCAGUCCGAUGUGAAAUCGCUGGGCUCAACCGAGCAACUGCAUCGGAUACUGCACAGCUUGAGUACGGGAGAGGGAAGUGGAAUGAGCAGUGUAGCGGUG
RNAcentral lists this ribosomal RNA (347 nucleotides) under uncultured microorganism. RNAcentral's name for it is "bacterial SSU rRNA". It matches the Rfam family "Bacterial small subunit ribosomal RNA", at positions 346 to 683 of the family's 1533-position model. The record is from RNAcentral.